RNAcentral lists this ribosomal RNA (253 nucleotides) under uncultured bacterium. RNAcentral describes it as "partial 16S ribosomal RNA". It matches the Rfam family "Bacterial small subunit ribosomal RNA", at positions 524 to 776 of the family's 1533-position model. The record is from RNAcentral.
UACGAAGGGGGCUAGCGUUGUUCGGAAUUACUGGGCGUAAAGCGUGUGUAGGCGGCUUCGCAAGUUGGAUGUGAAAUCCCACGGCUCAACCGUGGACGUGCAUCCAAAACUGCGUCGCUAGAGUCUCGGAGAGGAAGGUGGAAUGCUUGGUGUAGAGGUGAAAUUCGUAGAUAUCAAGCAGAACACCUGCGGCGAAGGCGGCCUUCUGGACGAUGACUGACGCUGAGACACGAAAGCGUGGGGAGCAAACAGG